Molecule: long non-coding RNA, 1115 nt
Organism: Eleginops maclovinus (Patagonian blennie)
Lineage: Eukaryota; Metazoa; Chordata; Actinopteri; Perciformes; Eleginopidae
Exons: 2
Source: RefSeq, a predicted model, not a curated record
ACUGAGAGACGCAGCCAUGGUGGAGGAAGGGGCCUAAUGUUCACCGGGGUACAGGAAGCUACCAUUGUAAACUUGGUUUUGGAAAGUAAUGAAAUCAGAUUACUGAAAAAGAGAUACUCAAAGUCACAUCAUCCAAGACAGCACCGUAUUCAACAACAUUCAACAAGUCAGUUUGUCCACAUUGGCUCGCGUUCUCGAGCGAAACCAAAUCAGUAUGAAACAACUUUAUAAGGUGUCUUUUGAGAGAAACUCUCAAAGAAACAAAGAGCUCAGAAGAGCAUAUGUGGAUGGAGUUCUGGAAAUGGAUGCUCAUGCAAUCCCGCAUGAGUUCAUCUUUGUAGAUGAGGCUGGGUUCAACUUAGCAAAGACCAGAAGAAGGGGAAGGAACGUCAUUGGCCACAGAGCCAUUAUAGAUGUUCCUGGCCAACGUGGUGGGAACAUCACAAUGUGCACUGCCAUCUCCAAUACGCAUGGUGUCCCCACCGUCAUGCCAACCUUGGACCAUACAACACAGCCCAUUGUCUCACAUUUAUGGACAGACUCCACAAUAUUCUCGUACCACCAGAGCGUAUGAAUGAUGCAGAGCAUCGAAGAAACAGGUAUGUUAUAGUAUGGGACAACGUGAGCUUUCAUCGUGCAGCCCCAGUCCAAACCUGGUUUGCUGACCACCCACCAUUUGUCGUGCAAUACCUCCCACCAUACUCACCAUUUUUGAACCCCAUAGAAGACUUCUGUUCAGCAUGGCGGUGGAAGGUUUACGACCGGCAGCCCUUUGUGUGCAUGCCUCUUUUGCAGGCUAUGGAAGAGGCAUGUGAUGAAAUUGAUGUGGGUGCGAUUCAGGGAUGGAUAAGGCACUCAAGGCACUUUUUCCCUCGAUGUCUGGCAAGGGAAGAUAUUGCCUGUGAUGUGGACGAGGCGUUGUGGCCAGAUCCAGCUAUGCGGCAGAAUGCUGCCUAAUUACAGUAUUUUUCUCGCCUCUUUUUUUAUAUAUAUUUUUUCUGUAAUUUUCUUUUUCAGUUUACUGUUUUUUGUUAGCAUAUUUUUGUUCACUCCAAUGUAUCUGCUGUGCAUAUUUUGCAUUGACUUUUUUGGUGAAAAAUAGAAAAUAACAGCAG